GAUAAUGGCUCAGAUUGAACGCUGGCGGCAUGCUUUACACAUGCAAGUCGAGGGGUAUAGUUCUUCGGAGCUAGAGACCGGCGCACGGGUGCGUAACGCGUAUGCAAUCUACCUUUACAGAGGGAUAGCCCAGAGAAAUUUGGAUUAAUGCCCCAUAGUGUUAUCGAAUCGCAUGGUUUGAUAACUAAAGUUCCAACGGUAUAAGAUGAGCAUGCGUCCCAUUAGUUAGUUGGUAAGGUAACGGCUUACCAAGACAAUGAUGGGUAGGGGUCCUGAGAGGGAGAUCCCCCACACUGGUACUGAGACACGGACCAGACUCCUACGGGAGGCAGCAGUGAGGAAUAUUGGUCAAUGGGCGCAAGCCUGAACCAGCCAUGCCGCGUGCAGGAAGACGGUCCUAUGGAUUGUAAACUGCUUUUAUACAGGAAGAAACCCUCCCACGUGUGGGAGCUUGACGGUACUGUAGGAAUAAGGAUCGGCUAACUCCGUG
RNAcentral lists this ribosomal RNA (490 nucleotides) under uncultured bacterium. Its description in RNAcentral is "bacterial SSU rRNA". It matches the Rfam family "Bacterial small subunit ribosomal RNA", at positions 15 to 507 of the family's 1533-position model. The record is from RNAcentral.